Molecule: ribosomal RNA, 497 nt
Filed under: uncultured bacterium
Lineage: Bacteria
Description: partial 16S ribosomal RNA
Rfam family: Bacterial small subunit ribosomal RNA
Source: RNAcentral
GAUGAACGCUGGCGGCGUGCCUAAUACAUGCAAGUCGAGCGAACAGAUGAGGAGCUUGCUCCUCUGACGUUAGCGGCGGACGGGUGAGUAACACGUGGAUAACCUACCUAUAAGACGGGGAUAACUUCGGGAAACCGGAGCUAAUACCGGAUAAUAUAUUGAACCGCAUGGUUCAAUAGUGAAAGACGGUUUUGCUGUCACUUAUAGAUGGAUCCGCGCCGCAUUAGCUAGUUGGUAAGGUAACGGCUUACCAAGGCAACGAUGCGUAGCCGACCUGAGAGGGUGAUCGGCCACCCUGGAACUGAGACACGCUCCCGACUCCUGCGGGAGGCAGCAGUAGGGAAUCUUCCGCAAUGGGCGGAAGCCUGACGGAGCAACGCCGCGUGAGUGAUGAAGGUCUUCGGAUCGUAAAACUCUGUUAUUAGGGAAGAACAAAUGUGUAAGUAACUAUGCACGUCUUGACGGUACCUAAUCAGAAAGCCACGGCUAACUACGUG